GACGAACGCUGGCGGCGUGCUUAACACAUGCAAGUCGAACGGAAAGGCCCUGCUUUUGUGUGGUGCUCGAGUGGCGAACGGGUGAGUAACACGUGAGUAACCUGCCCUUGACUUUGGGAUAACUUCAGGAAACUGGGGCUAAUACCGCAUAGGAGCUCCUGCUGCAUGGUGGUGGUUGGAAAGUUUCGGCGGUUGGGGAUGGACUCGCGGCUUAUCAGCUUGUUGGUGGGGUAGUGGCUUACCAAGGCUUUGACGGGUAGCCGGCCUGAGAGGGUGACCGGCCACAUUGGGCCUGAGGUACGGCCCAGACUGCUACGGGAGGCAGCAGUGGGGAAUAUUGCACAAUGGGCGGAAGCCUGAUGCAGCAACGCCGCGUGCGGGAUGACGGCCUUCGGGGUGUAAACCGCUUUCGCCUGUGACGAAGCGUGAGUGACGGUAAUGGGUAAAGAAGCACCGGCUAACUACGUG
RNAcentral lists this ribosomal RNA (468 nucleotides) under uncultured bacterium. RNAcentral's name for it is "partial 16S ribosomal RNA". It matches the Rfam family "Bacterial small subunit ribosomal RNA", at positions 28 to 507 of the family's 1533-position model. The record is from RNAcentral.